This 407-nucleotide ribosomal RNA is filed under the name uncultured bacterium. RNAcentral describes it as "partial 16S ribosomal RNA". It matches the Rfam family "Bacterial small subunit ribosomal RNA", at positions 30 to 526 of the family's 1533-position model. The record is from RNAcentral.
AUUGAACGCUGGCGGCAGGCCUAACACAUGCAAGUCGAGCGGAGCGGCGGACGGGGGCGUAAGGCCAGGGAAUCUGCCUGGUAGUGGUGGAUAAGGUCCGGUAACGGGAGCUAAUGCUGCAUACUUGCAGUUUAGCCUAGGUGGGAUUAGCUAGUGGGUGGGGUAAAGGCUCACCAAGGCGACGAUCUGUAACUGGUCUGAGAGGAUGAUCAGUCACACUGGGACUGAGACACGGUCCAGACUCCUACGGGAGGCAGCAGUGGGGAAUAUUGGACAAUGGGCGAAAGCCUGAUCCAGCCAUGCCGCGUGUGUGAAGAAGGUCUUAGGAUUGUAAAGCACUUUAAGUUGGGAGGCGUUACCAACAGAAUAAGCACCGGCUAACUUCGUGCCAGCAGCCGCGGUAAUAC